This 253-nucleotide ribosomal RNA is filed under the name uncultured bacterium. RNAcentral describes it as "partial 16S ribosomal RNA". It matches the Rfam family "Bacterial small subunit ribosomal RNA", at positions 524 to 776 of the family's 1533-position model. The record is from RNAcentral.
UACGUAGGGGGCAAGCGUUGUCCGGAAUCAUUGGGCGUAAAGAGCGUGUAGGCGGCUCGGUAAGUCCGCUGUGAAAGUCCAGGGCUCGACCCUGGAAUGCCGGUGGAAACUGUCGAGCUAGAGUCCGGAAGAGGCGAGUGGAAUUCCUGGUGUAGCGGUGAAAUGCGCAGAUAUCAGGAGGAACACCAAUGGCGAAGGCAGCUCGCCGGGACGGUACUGACGCUGAGACGCGAAAGCGUGGGGAGCAAACAGG